AGUAGUAUAUUUUAAAAAGAAAAAUAUCAUUUUGCAAAAAUGAAGUUACUUUAUAGUUAUUACUU
RNAcentral lists this transfer RNA (65 nucleotides) under Tetraclitella divisa. RNAcentral's name for it is "tRNA-Cys". Lineage: Eukaryota; Metazoa; Arthropoda; Thecostraca; Balanomorpha; Tetraclitidae. The record is from RNAcentral.